GCCAGGCCGAACGCAUGCGGUCCCGCUGCACCCGCCCAGGAGCGAGGGGUCAUCUCCCCCGGCCUCACUUGUCUCCCCCUCGCUGCUUCGCUAGGGUUCGGGUCGUCCUCGCUGCGCUCGCCGCGCCGUCCUCCGCCGGUCGCUCUCCUCCGCCCGUCGCGCCCUCCUCCCCUCGUCGCCCUCCUCUGCCGCUCGCCAUCCUCCGCCCCGCCUUCCUCCGGCCAUCGUCGUCCUCCGUCGCCCUGACCUCCUCCGCUGCUCGCAAUCCUCCGCCCUGCCCUCCUCUGGCCGUCGCCCUCCUCCGCCCGUCGACCUCCGUCUGUCCCGCUGGUCGCCCUCCGUCUGUUGAAAUCCUUUUCAGCCAAGUAUUGGUUUCAUUAACAUUGGUUAGCAUAAUGUAGAAAAGUUUUACAGGAGCCAAUAGCCAUGCCAGUUAGUGACAAGCAACUAGCAUCCUCAGUGAAGUAACAUCACAUGAGCUGCCAAACAAAGUUGCAGAUAUCGUAAAUAUGUCUCAGGGCACUUCACCGCUGCCAAAAGAUAAGGGUCCUGCCACAGAUCCUGGAAAGACCAUGGGCACCAAACGAUCUGAUGCUCCUUCAAGUCCUGGAUAUCAUAAUGUUUAUGUACGAAGAAAAGUGGAAAGUGACCAUAGUAAAGUAAGCUCUUCUCAAGAGUUAAAGGGUAAUGGAAGAGACAAAACAAAAGAGCAGGAAGCACAACAAAGUAUGCAACAUGAUCAGACCAAUAAGCCAGAAUUGCCAUCUUCUGUUCCAGUGCAACAUGAUCAGACCAGUAAGCCAGAAUUGUCAUCUUCUGUUACGAAGCAACAUGAUCAGACCAGUAAGCCAGAAUUGCCAUCUUCUGUUGCGAAGCAACAUGAUCAGACCAAUAAGCCAGAGUUGCCAUCUUCUGUUACAGUGCAACAUGAUCAGACCAAUAAGCCAGAGUUGCCAUCUUCUGUUGCGAAGCAACAUGAUCAGACCAAUAAGCCAGAGUUGCCAUCUUCUGUUGCAAAGCAACAUGAUCAGACCAAUAAGCAAGAGUUGCCAUCUUCUGUUGUGGAGCAACAUGAUCAGAACAAUAAGCCAGAGUUGCCAUCUUCAGUUGCGGAGCAACAUGAUCAGACCAAUAAGCCAGAGUUGGCAUCGUCUGUUCCUGAAUAUGGAGGCAUAGUGUCUCCUAAAUCUCCUGAAAAUCCAAACGAACAAACUGCGCCCAAGAAAAAUGACCCUCCUGUAGCUCCUGGCACUUCCGUUCAAGAUGAUGCCCAUAAGUCAAGCAAUCAAUACUGGAACGCGAGAUUUAAUCGGUUACAGACAUAUUUGGAGAACUGUGAUAGGUCAACUCAGGAGGGUUAUAUGCGAAUGCUUAGGUCCCUCUCAGCAGCUGAUCGAAGCAUGCAUGCAAUUGAUCUGGAGAAAAGGGCAAUUCACUUAUUAGUGGAGGAAGGAAAAGAGCUGCAACGGAUGAAGGCUUUGAAUGUCCUGGGAAAAGUUUCUCCAAACGGUUCUUCAAAACAGGCCCCUUUGUAGCGACGACAGUCCCAAGAAUGAGAUGGAUGGCAUAGUUCGAAGAGCUGAAAUGCUCAGGCCCAUUGCAGCAAAGACAUUAGAUAUAGUCUGCUCACCUAGUUCCAUUUUGCUUCCUUUGCCAUGUAACUCAUUUUCCUUCAUUUCUUUCUGUUUUGACCUCAAUGACUUGCCAACUCAUGUGCUGUGAGAUUUGCUAUAAUGUGAUGUAAUUAGCUUGUCUGGAUAAGCCUGCCAUUCUUAAUGGCCAAGCGUAAUAAUUUCAA
Oryza brachyantha (malo sina) is the source of this 1798-nucleotide RNA transcript. It is a transcript of the gene named pollen-specific leucine-rich repeat extensin-like protein 1, with no coding region annotated. The transcript has 4 exons. Lineage: Eukaryota; Viridiplantae; Streptophyta; Magnoliopsida; Poales; Poaceae. The record is from RefSeq and is a predicted model, not a curated record.